Molecule: ribosomal RNA, 460 nt
Filed under: uncultured bacterium
Lineage: Bacteria
Description: partial 16S ribosomal RNA
Rfam family: Bacterial small subunit ribosomal RNA
Source: RNAcentral
CCUACGGGUGGCAGCAGUGAGGAAUAUUGGUCAAUGGGCGAGAGCCUGAACCAGCCAAGUCGCGUGAAGGAUGACGGCCCUACGGGUUGUAAACUUCUUUUGUCAGGGAGCAAUUGGGUCCACGCGUGGGCUUCUCGAGAGUACCUGAAGAAAAAGCCUCGGCUAACUCCGUUCCAGCAGCCGCGGUAAUACGGAGGAUUCGAGCGUUAUCCGGAUUUUUUGGGUUUAAAGGGUGCGUAGGCGGACUAUCAAGUCAGCGGUAAAAAUUCGGGGCUCAACCCCGUCGUGCCGUUGAAACUGAUGUGGUUGAGUGGGCGUGAAGUAGGCGGAAGGCGUGGGGUAGCGGGGAAAUGCAUAGAUAUCACGCAGAACUCCGAUUGCGAAGGCAGCAUACCGGCGCACAACUGACGCUGAAGCACGAAAGCGUGGGUAGCGAACAGGAUUAGAUACCCGGGUAGUC